AAAGACCCCGUGAACCUUUACUAUAGCUUGACACUGAACAUUGAGCCUUGAUGUGUAGGAUAGGUGGGAGGCUUUGAAGUGUGGACGCCAGUCUGCAUGGAGCCGACCUUGAAAUACCACCCUUUAAUGUUUGAUGUUCUAACGUGGAUCCGUGAUCCGGGUUGCGGACAGUGUCUGGUGGGUAGUUUGACUGGGGCGGUCUCCUCCUAAAGAGUAACGGAGGAGCACGAAGGUUGGCUAAUCCUGGUCGGACAUCAGGAGGUUAGUGCAAUGGCAUAAGCCAGCUUGACUGCGAGCGUGACGGCGCGAGCAGGUGCGAAAGCAGGUCAUAGUGAUCCGGUGGUUCUGAAUGGAAGGGCCAUCGCUCAACGGAUAAAAGGUACUCCGGGGAUAACAGGCUGAUACCGCCCAAGAGUUCAUAUCGACGGCGGUGUUUGGCACCUCGAUGUCGGCUCAUCACAUCCUGGGGCUGAAGUAGGUCCCAAGGGUAUGGCUGUUCGCCAUUUAAAGUGGUACGCGAGCUGGGUUUAGAACGUCGUGAGACAGUUCGGUCCCUAUCUGCCGUGGGCGCUGGAGAACUGAGGGGGGCUGCUCCUAGUACGAGAGGACCGGAGUGGACGCAUCACUGGUGUUCGGGUUGUCAUGCCAAUGGCACUGCCCGGUAGCUAAAUGCGGAAGAGAUAAGUGCUGAAAGCAUCUAAGCACGAAACUUGCCCCGAGAUGAGUUCUCCCUGAGACUUUAAGUCUCCUGAAGGAACGUUGAAGACGACGACGUUGAUAGGCCGGGUGUGUAAGCGCAGCGAUGCGUUGAGCUAACCGGUACUAAUGAACCGUGAGGCUUAACCUUACAACGCCGAAG
This 859-nucleotide ribosomal RNA is filed under the name Salmonella enterica. Its description in RNAcentral is "partial 23S ribosomal RNA". It matches the Rfam family "Bacterial large subunit ribosomal RNA", at positions 2084 to 2925 of the family's 2925-position model. Lineage: Bacteria; Pseudomonadati; Pseudomonadota; Gammaproteobacteria; Enterobacterales; Enterobacteriaceae. The record is from RNAcentral.